RNAcentral lists this ribosomal RNA (400 nucleotides) under uncultured bacterium. RNAcentral describes it as "bacterial SSU rRNA". It matches the Rfam family "Bacterial small subunit ribosomal RNA", at positions 46 to 434 of the family's 1533-position model. The record is from RNAcentral.
GCCUAACACAUGCAAGUCGAACGGCAGCGCGGGGAAGCUUGCUCCCCUGGCGGCGAGUGGCGGACGGGUGAGUAAUACGUAUGAAUCUGCCAGUACUGGGGGACAACCCGGGGAAACUCGGGCUAAUACCGCAUACGUCCCCUUUCACAUCUAUGGGAGGGGAAAGCGGGGGACCUUCGGGCCUCGCGCAUUGGAGGAUCCUACGGCGGAUUAGCUUGUUGGUCGGGUAACGGCCUACAAGGCGAGGAUCCGUAGCUGGUCUGACAGGACGACCAGCCACACUGGGAUGAAAUACGGCCCAAAGUCCUACGGGAGGCAACAGUGGGGAAUAUUGGAAAUGGGCGAAAGCCUGAUCCAGCAAUGCCGCGUGUGUGAAGAAGGCCUUUGGUUGUAAAGCGAC